This 445-nucleotide ribosomal RNA is filed under the name Prevotella sp. oral taxon 317. RNAcentral's name for it is "bacterial SSU rRNA". It matches the Rfam family "Bacterial small subunit ribosomal RNA", at positions 28 to 463 of the family's 1533-position model. Lineage: Bacteria; Pseudomonadati; Bacteroidota; Bacteroidia; Bacteroidales; Prevotellaceae. The record is from RNAcentral.
GAUGAACGCUAGCUACAGGCUUAACACAUGCAAGUCGCGGGGCAGCAUGGGGGUUGCUUGCAACCCCUGAUGGCGACCGGCGCACGGGUGAGUAACGCGUAUCCAACCUGCCCUUCACCACGGGAUAACCCGGCGAAAGUCGGACUAAUACCGUAUGUUGUCCAUUGACGGCAUCCGAUUUGGACGAAAGGCUUGGCGGUGAGGGAUGGGGAUGCGUCCGAUUAGCUCGACGGCGGGGUAACGGCCCACCGUGGCAACGAUCGGUAGGGGUUCUGAGAGGAAGGUCCCCCACACUGGAACUGAGACACGGUCCAGACUCCUACGGGAGGCAGCAGUGAGGAAUAUUGGUCAAUGGGCGGAAGCCUGAACCAGCCAAGUAGCGUGCAGGAUGGCGGCCCUAUGGGUUGUAAACUGCUUUUAUGCGGGGAUAAAGGAGCCCACGUGU